UGAGGAAUUUUGCGCAAUGGGAGCAAUCCUGACGCAGCAACGCCGCGUGGGUGAUGAAGGCCUUCGGGUCGUAAAGCCCUGUCAGGUGGGAAGAAUGCCACAAGGAUGAAUAAGCCUUGUGGGUGACGGUACCACCAGAGGAAGCACCGGCUAACUCCGUGCCAGCAGCCGCGGUAAUACGGAGGGUGCGAGCGUUAUUCGGAAUUACUGGGCGUAAAGCGCGUGUAGGCGGGAGUGCAAGUCUGAUGUGAAAGCCCCGGGCUUAACCUGGGAAGUGCAUUGGAAACUGCAUUUCUUGAGUGCUGGAGAGGAAGGGGGAAUUCCCGGUGUAGAGGUGAAAUUCGUAGAGAUCGGGAGGAAUACCAGUGGCGAAGGCGCCCUUCUGGACGGCAACUGACGCUGAGACGCGAAAGCGUGGGGAGCAAACAGG
This 430-nucleotide ribosomal RNA is filed under the name uncultured Syntrophobacter sp. RNAcentral describes it as "bacterial SSU rRNA". It matches the Rfam family "Bacterial small subunit ribosomal RNA", at positions 355 to 776 of the family's 1533-position model. The record is from RNAcentral. Lineage: Bacteria; Pseudomonadati; Thermodesulfobacteriota; Syntrophobacteria; Syntrophobacterales; Syntrophobacteraceae.